CCCAGCCUUAUGGCUUUAAUUUACCUAGCAUGACAAAAACAAAUCAUAGCCACAAUUAGGCCUUAUGGCAGUUAACAUAUCAACAAGAAAUUUAGAAUAUCUAUCAUUAUAAUAGUAAACAGCCUUGUAUGGCCAUUCCAGUUUCUCUUCAAAAUUGAAGUGGGAAUGAAAUGAAUAAGGAUCUAAAUUAACUCACCCUUGAUAACUUGAUGAUUGGGUUGGCUUUGUUGCUGAUAAUCUCCUCCCUCUCCAACUGGAAUCACUUUCUCUUCUUCACUAAAUAUGCUUUUGGAGCUCAAAUAAGUGGUGUAACCAUCUGAACUUGGGUGAAACAUUGGGGUUAUAUGGUUCAGUUUUCUAUCUUCAGUCAGUCACCUUCCUGACCACUUAUAAGCUUGGCCCCUAUUCUUCUCCAUCAUUACCCUACCCGGUAUUAGCUUCAAUUCAGCCCCUCUAACUUGCCUCCUAUCAGUCUACUCAUAGCAGUUAGUUGGCCCCUAUAACUACCUGACACCCUUGGUCUUCGCAGUGUACUUGACCCCUAAUAGCCAACCUAUGCACUCUAGGUUCCAACUAACUUGCUAACCACUUGCUAAUUGACUAAACUAGUAAUUAGCUUCUAACUGGCAGCUCAUUUUAACUAACUAAUUGGCUGACUAAUGUUUUAACUAACUGAAUUGCCAAAGCCAUCUAUUGCUAUUUAAAUAACACUAAAACAGCCCCCUUUGCUAUCCCC
RNAcentral lists this long non-coding RNA (736 nucleotides) under Panax ginseng (ginseng). RNAcentral's name for it is "long non-coding RNA (PGIN_LNC013123)". The record is from RNAcentral. Lineage: Eukaryota; Viridiplantae; Streptophyta; Magnoliopsida; Apiales; Araliaceae.